Molecule: ribosomal RNA, 156 nt
Organism: Callipepla squamata (scaled quail)
Lineage: Eukaryota; Metazoa; Chordata; Aves; Galliformes; Odontophoridae
Rfam family: Eukaryotic large subunit ribosomal RNA
Source: Rfam
ACUGGCUGAUGGCAGCCAAGCGUUAAGAGCGAUGUCGCAUUUGGAUCCUUCAAUAUCAGCCCUUCCUAUCACCGUGAAGAAGAAUUCACCAAGAGUUGGAUUAUUCACACACAAAUAGGGAACGAGGGCUGCGACUGGACCAUCACGAUACAGGUU